AGAGUUUGAUCAUGGCUCAGAGUGAACGCUGGCGGCAGGCCUAAUACAUGCAAGUCGAACGGCAGCACAGCAGAGCUUGCUCUGUGGGUGGCGAGUGGCGGACGGGUGAGGAAUACGUGGGAAUCUGCCCAGUCGUGGGGGAUAACGUAGGGAAACUUACGCUAAUACCGCAUGCGCCCUUCGGGGGAAAGCCGGGGACCUUCGGGCCUGGCGCGAUUGGAUGAGCCCACGUCGGAUUAGCUAGUUGGCGGGGUAAAGGCCCACCAAGGCGACGAUCCGUAGCUGGUCUGAGAGGAUGAUCAGCCACACUGGAACUGAGACACGGUCCAGACUCCUACGGGAGGCAGCAGUAGGGAAUAUUGGACAAUGGGCGCAAGCCUGAUCCAGCCAUGCCGCGUGAGUGAAGAAGGCCCUCGGGUUGUAAAGCUCUUUUGUCCAGAAAGAAAAGCGCCGGGUUAAUACCCUGGUGUCCUGACGGUACCGGAAGAAUAAGCACCGGCUAACUUCGUG
This 510-nucleotide ribosomal RNA is filed under the name uncultured bacterium. Its description in RNAcentral is "bacterial SSU rRNA". It matches the Rfam family "Bacterial small subunit ribosomal RNA", at positions 8 to 507 of the family's 1533-position model. The record is from RNAcentral.